RNAcentral lists this ribosomal RNA (253 nucleotides) under uncultured bacterium. Its description in RNAcentral is "partial 16S ribosomal RNA". It matches the Rfam family "Bacterial small subunit ribosomal RNA", at positions 524 to 776 of the family's 1533-position model. The record is from RNAcentral.
UACGAAGGGGGCGAGCGUUGCUCGGAAUCACUGGGCGUAAAGCGCACGUAGACGGCUUCUUAAGUCAGGGGUGAAAUCCUGGGGCUCAACCCCAGAACUGCCCUUGAUACUGAGGAGCUUGAGUCCGGGAGAGGUGAGUGGAACGCCGAGUGUAGAGGUGAAAUUCGUGGAUAUUCGGAAGAACACCAGUGGCGAAGGCGGCUCACUGGCCCGGUACUGACGCUGAGGUGCGAAAGCGUGGGGAGCAAACAGG